GAUGAACGCUGGCGGCGUGCCUAAUACAUGCAAGUCGAGCGAACAGACGAUGAGCUUGCUCCUUUCACGUUAGCGGCGGACGGGUGUGUCACACGUGUAUCACCUACCUAUAUUACUGGGAUAUCUUCGGGAAUCCGGCGCUAAUACCGUAUAAUCUCUUGAACCGCAUUGUUCAAUAGUGAAAGACGGCUUUGCUGGCACUUAUAGCUGCUUCCGCGCCGCAUUAGCUAGUUGUUAAGGUAACGGCUUACCACGGCAACGAUGCGUAGCCGACGUGAGAGGGUGGUAGCCCACACGGGAGCUGGAACAGGGUCAAGAGUCCUGCGAGAGGCAGCAGUAGGGAAUCGGACGCAGUGGGCGAGAGCCUGGCGGAACGACGGCGAGUGAGUGAUGGAGGUCUUGGGAGCGGAAAACUGUGUUAUGGGGGAAGAACAGAUGUGUAAGUAAAUAUGCACGGAGUGACGGUACCGAGUAAGAAAGCAACGGCUAACUACGUG
RNAcentral lists this ribosomal RNA (497 nucleotides) under uncultured bacterium. RNAcentral's name for it is "partial 16S ribosomal RNA". It matches the Rfam family "Bacterial small subunit ribosomal RNA", at positions 28 to 507 of the family's 1533-position model. The record is from RNAcentral.